This 3044-nucleotide ribosomal RNA is filed under the name Salmonella enterica. Its description in RNAcentral is "bacterial LSU rRNA". It matches the Rfam family "Bacterial large subunit ribosomal RNA". The record is from RNAcentral. Lineage: Bacteria; Pseudomonadati; Pseudomonadota; Gammaproteobacteria; Enterobacterales; Enterobacteriaceae.
GGGUUGUGAGGUUAAGCGACCAAGCGUACACGGUGGAUGCCCUGGCAGUCAGAGGCGAUGAAGGACGUGCUAAUCUGCGAAAAGCGCCGGUAAGGUGAUAUGAACCGUUAUAACCGGCGAUGUCCGAAUGGGGAAACCCAGUGUGACUCGUCACACUAUCAUUAACUGAAUCCAUAGGUUAAUGAGGCGAACCGGGGGAACUGAAACAUCUAAGUACCCCGAGGAAAAGAAAUCAACCGAGAUUCCCCCAGUAGCGGCGAGCGAACGGGGAGGAGCCCAGAGCCUGAAUCAGCAUGUGUGUUAGUGGAAGCGUCUGGAAAGGCGCGCGAUACAGGGUGAGAGCCCCGUACACAAAAGCGCAUGUGCUGUGAGCUCGAUGAGUAGGGCGGGACACGUGGUAUCCUGUCUGAAUAUGGGGGGACCAUCCUCCAAGGCUAAAUACUCCUGACUGACCGAUAGUGAACCAGUACCGUGAGGGAAAGGCGAAAAGAACCCCGGCGAGGGGAGUGAAACAGAACCUGAAACCGUGUACGUACAAGCAGUGGGAGCCCCACCACCAAAGCGUUUCGCUUUGCGUGGUGCGCAAAAUGCGUAACGACAGCACGAUUACGAUUAACGGAGCGUAAGCGACGUUCAACACAAAAAUCAGGCAGUGGAGCGUUUUGGGGUGGGGUGACUGCGUACCUUUUGUAUAAUGGGUCAGCGACUUAUAUUCUGUAGCAAGGUUAACCGCAUAGGGGAGCCGGAGGGAAACCGAGUCUUAAUUGGGCGUUAAGUUGCAGGGUAUAGACCCGAAACCCGGUGAUCUAGCCAUGGGCAGGUUGAAGGUUGGGUAACACUAACUGGAGGACCGAACCGACUAAUGUUGAAAAAUUAGCGGAUGACCUGUGGCUGGGGGUGAAAGGCCAAUCAAACCGGGAGAUAGCUGGUUCUCCCCGAAAGCUAUUUAGGUAGCGCCUCGUGAAUUCAUCUCCGGGGGUAGAGCACUGUUUCGGCCAGGGGGCCAUCCCGGCUUACCAAUCCGAUGCAAACUGCGAAUACCGGAGAAUGUUAUCACGGGAGACACACGGCGGGUGCUAACGUCCGUCGUGAAGAGGGAAACAACCCAGACCGCCAGCUAAGGUCCCAAAGUCAUGGUUAAGUGGGAAACGAUGUGGGAAGGCCCAGACAGCCAGGAUGUUGGCUUAGAAGCAGCCAUCAUUUAAAGAAAGCGUAAUAGCUCACUGGUCGAGUCGGCCUGCGCGGAAGAUGUAACGGGGCUAAACCAUGCACCGAAGCUGCGGCAGCGACACUGAUGUGUUGUUGGGUAGGGGAGCGUUCUGUAAGCCGUUGAAGGUGUGUCGUGAGGCAUGCUGGAGGUAUCAGAAGUGCGAAUGCUGACAUAAGUAACGAUAAAGCGGGUGAAAAGCCCGCUCGCCGGAAGACCAAGGGUUCCUGUCCAACGUUAAUCGGGGCAGGGUGAGUCGACCCCUAAGGCGAGGCCGAAAGGCGUAGUCGAUGGGAAACGGGUUAAUAUUCCCGUACUUGGUGUUACUGCGAAGGGGGGACGGAGAAGGCUAUGUUGGCCGGGCGACGGUUGUCCCGGUUUAAGCGUGUAGGUGUGUGUUCCAGGUAAAUCCGGUUCACUUUAACACUGAGGCGUGAUGACGAGGCACUACGGUGCUGAAGCAACAAAUGCCCUGCUUCCAGGAAAAGCCUCUAAGCCUCAGGUAACAUCAAAUCGUACCCCAAACCGACACAGGUGGUCAGGUAGAGAAUACCAAGGCGCUUGAGAGAACUCGGGUGAAGGAACUAGGCAAAAUGGUGCCGUAACUUCGGGAGAAGGCACGCUGACACGUAGGUGAAGUGGUUUACCCAUGGAGCUGAAGUCAGUCGAAGAUACCAGCUGGCUGCAACUGUUUAUUAAAAACACAGCACUGUGCAAACACGAAAGUGGACGUAUACGGUGUGACGCCUGCCCGGUGCCGGAAGGUUAAUUGAUGGGGUCAGCGCAAGCGAAGCUCCUGAUCGAAGCCCCGGUAAACGGCGGCCGUAACUAUAACGGUCCUAAGGUAGCGAAAUUCCUUGUCGGGUAAGUUCCGACCUGCACGAAUGGCGUAAUGAUGGCCAGGCUGUCUCCACCCGGGACUCAGUGAAAUUGAACUCGCUGUGAAGAUGCAGUGUACCCGCGGCAAGACGGAAAGACCCCGUGAACCUUUACUAUAGCUUGACACUGAACACUGGUCCUUGAUGUGCAGGAUAGGUGGGAGGCUUUGAAGUGUGGACGCCAGUCUGCAUGGAGCCAUCCUUGAAAUACCACCCUUUAAUGGCUGGUGUUCUAACGUGGGCCCCUGACCGGGGUUGCGGACAGUGUCUGGUGGGUAGUUUGACUGGGGCGGUCUCCUCCUAAAGAGUAACGGAGGAGCACGAAGGUUGGCUAAUCCUGGUCGGACAUCAGGAGGUUAGUGCAAUGGCAUAAGCCAGCUUGACUGCGAGCGUGACGGCGCGAGCAGGUGCGAAAGCAGGUCAUAGUGAUCCGGUGGUUCUGAAUGGAAGGGCCAUCGCUCAACGGAUAAAAGGUACUCCGGGGAUAACAGGCUGAUACCGCCCAAGAGUUCAUAUCGACGGCGGUGUUUGGCACCUCGAUGUCGGCUCAUCACAUCCUGGGGCUGAAGUAGGUCCCAAGGGUAUGGCUGUUCGCCAUUUAAAGUGGUACGCGAGCUGGGUUUAGAACGUCGUGAGACAGUUCGGUCCCUAUCUGCCGUGGGCGCUGGAAGAUUGAGGGGGGCUGCUCCUAGUACGAGAGGACCGGAGUGGACGCAUCACUGGUGUUCGGGUUGUCAUGCCAAUGGCACUGCCCGGUAGCUACAUGCGGAAGAGAUAAGUGCUGAAAGCAUCUAAGCACGAAACUUGCCCCGAGAUGAAUCUUCCCUGAGCCUUUAAGGCUCCUGAAGGAACGUUGAAGACGACGACGUUGAUAGGCCGGGUGUGUAAGCGCAGCGAUGCGUUGAGCUAACCGGUACUAAUGAACCGUGAGGCUUAACCUUACAACGCCGAAGGUGUUU